This 29-nucleotide small RNA is filed under the name Bombyx mori (domestic silkworm). RNAcentral describes it as "ovarian small RNA-5935". The record is from RNAcentral. Lineage: Eukaryota; Metazoa; Arthropoda; Insecta; Lepidoptera; Bombycidae.
UACACGGUAAUAACUUUACGUCAAGUGUC